Molecule: long non-coding RNA, 547 nt
Filed under: Gallus gallus (chicken)
Lineage: Eukaryota; Metazoa; Chordata; Aves; Galliformes; Phasianidae
Description: lncRNA (ENSGALG00010019369.1)
Source: RNAcentral
UGAGGCACUGGAGCUGGCGCCGCUGUGCUGCCUGAGGAUCCUUCUGGCAUCCCCACCUCACCCUCAGCCCACCACCACAUGGAAGGGUGUUUGCAAACAGCAAGGGACUGGCCACCAGACAUUGCUGGAGAGAAGAAGUUAUGCACAGCUUCUCUAGACCCCAGACUAUGGUUGCCCAGAGAAGCCUGAUGAUCUUCUGGCUGGUACUGAUGGUGGAGCUGAGGCAACUGCACUGAUCUCUCUCUCUCCAUCAACAUACUGCCUUGUCUCGAGGAAGGAGGCCUUGGAUCAGCCUCGACUUUGCUCCCAGCUGUCUUUCCUGGUCCUCCUGUUAUGGGGACAGCUUCUGGGGGCAGAACUCUUGUUACAGAGCCAUAGAACCAUACUGGUUGGAAAAGACCCUUCAGAUCAUCAAGUGCAACCAUUCCAUGUUGUAGAAUGAGAGCUGACCUGAGCAUACCGGAAACUUAUGAUGAUGCCGAAGGAGGACAAAGUGAGAGGAAUCACCUUUCUACUGAUGGCAGAGGAAAUCUGGGCAAGAAGUCAC